This 319-nucleotide unclassified non-coding RNA is filed under the name Trichuris sp. 1 CC-2016. Its description in RNAcentral is "sequence contains ITS2". The record is from RNAcentral. Lineage: Eukaryota; Metazoa; Nematoda; Enoplea; Trichinellida; Trichuridae.
ACGCACCAACGGUGCGCUUCCGCGGCUGGUCCGUUUCGACAGCCGUGCUUCGAACGUCCUCCUGUUCGUAGAAGCGCUGCGCCGACGCCUCGGAUAAGACUGGUACGAGUAGUAGCCGCAGCAUGAAAGUGCCGUCAAAUCCGUUGGCAAGGAGAGGAGCUUGUUCGGCGGGACGCCGCUUCCAUGUCCUUCCGAGCAUGCUGCAAUACCUUGCACGGCAAAAGCUUCCGUAGAGGCUCCGCCGAACGUUCGCUCGUUCGAUGGCAUCGUAUCGAGCGCGCGGACGCGGCAAACGUUGCUCAUUGCCAAGCUGUCAGGC